This 288-nucleotide long non-coding RNA is filed under the name Panax ginseng (ginseng). RNAcentral's name for it is "long non-coding RNA (PGIN_LNC004614)". Lineage: Eukaryota; Viridiplantae; Streptophyta; Magnoliopsida; Apiales; Araliaceae. The record is from RNAcentral.
UAUUACAUCUAUGAAGGAAAAAAACGAUCUUCAAAACAGAGAAGAAAUCGGGUGGAGAAAUCGGAAGUAUUAGAAGUUCAAAUCUGGAUCUGGGUUUUUCAGAUCUGGAUCUGAACAGACUUGAUUAAAAGGCCUCUCCCUCUUAUACUUUCUUCAAAUCCUUCUUCUAAAAUUCAUUUCUCAAAGCAAUCGCGUUCAUCUGGUGUUCAAGCAAUCGCGUUUAUCAAUGGAAGUCUUGUUACCUCUCUCAACCUUAUUUAAGGUGUCUUUGUUGCAUAAUGAAACAGG